This 301-nucleotide ribosomal RNA is filed under the name uncultured bacterium. RNAcentral's name for it is "partial 16S ribosomal RNA". It matches the Rfam family "Bacterial small subunit ribosomal RNA", at positions 509 to 807 of the family's 1533-position model. The record is from RNAcentral.
CAGUAGCCACGGUAAUACGGAGGAUCCAAGCGUUAUCCGGAAUCAUUGGGUUUAAAGGGUCCGUAGGCGGUCUUGUAAGUCAGUGGUGAAAGCCCAUCGCUCAACGGUGGAACGGCCAUUGAUACUGCAGGACUUGAAUUAUUGGGAAGUAACUAGAAUAUGUAGUGUAGCGGUGAAAUGCUUAGAGAUUACAUGGAAUACCAAUUGCGAAGGCAGGUUACUACCAAUUGAUUGACGCUGAUGGACGAAAGCGUGGGUAGCGAACAGGAUUAGAUACCCGUGUAGUCCCUGUCUCUUAUAC